GUCUCAAGACUAAGCCAUGCAUGUCCAAGUAUGAACGCUUCCAUACUGUGAAACUGCGAAUGGCUCAUUAAAUCAGUUAUAGUUUAUUUGAUGGUUCCUUGCUACUUGGAUAACCGUAGUAAUUCUAGAGCUAAUACAUGCAGAAAGUCCCGACUCUCCGGGAAGGGACGUAUUUAUUAGAUCCAAAACCAGCGCGAGUUCCCUCCGGGGAACUCGGUUGCUCGGUGAUUCAUGAUAACUGCUCGAAUCGCAGGGCCCCCGUGCCGGCGAUGAUCCAUUCAAAUUUCUGCCCUAUCAACUUUCGAUGGUACGGUAGUGGCCUACCAUGGUUGCAACGGGUGACGGAGAAUUAGGGUUCGAUUCCGGAGAGGGAGCCUGAGAAACGGCUACCACAUCCAAGGAAGGCAGCAGGCGCGCAAAUUACCCAAUCCCGACUCGGGGAGGUAGUGACAAUAAAUAACAAUGCCGGGCCAGUUCGGUCUGGCAAUUGGAAUGAGCACAAUCCAAACCCCUUAACAAGGAGCAAUUGGAGGGCAAGUCUGGUGCCAGCAGCCGCGGUAAUUCCAGCUCCAAUAGCGUAUAUUAAAGUUGUUGCAGUUAAAAAGCUCGUAGUUGGAUUUCGGGGCGGCCCGGUCGGUCCGCCGCGAGGCGUGUACUGGUCGGGCGCCCUUCCUCUCGGAGGCCCCGGCUGCUCUUCGUUGCAGCGGUCGGGGAGUUCGGGACGUUUACUUUGAAAAAAUUAGAGUGUUCAAGGCAGGCU
RNAcentral lists this ribosomal RNA (760 nucleotides) under Pandaros sp. CU164. Its description in RNAcentral is "SSU rRNA". It matches the Rfam family "Eukaryotic small subunit ribosomal RNA", at positions 34 to 786 of the family's 1831-position model. The record is from RNAcentral. Lineage: Eukaryota; Metazoa; Porifera; Demospongiae; Poecilosclerida; Clathriidae.